GCGUCAUUAGCUCAGUGGAGAGAGCACAGGGUUGCGGGCCCUGAGGUCGGAGGUUCGAUUCCUUCAUGACGCGCCA
Molecule: transfer RNA, 76 nt
Filed under: compost metagenome
Description: tRNA-Arg
Rfam family: tRNA
About the family: Transfer RNA (tRNA) molecules are approximately 80 nucleotides in length. Their secondary structure includes four short double-helical elements and three loops (D, anti-codon, and T loops).
Source: RNAcentral